Long non-coding RNA from Gopherus flavomarginatus (Mexican gopher tortoise), 3287 nucleotides. RefSeq lists it as uncharacterized. NCBI's taxonomy places the organism in Eukaryota, Metazoa, Chordata, Testudines, Testudinidae. The record is from RefSeq and is a predicted model, not a curated record. The transcript has 2 exons.
GGCUAACUCCACUAAGGUUGCCACUCAUUCGGGAAGUCACAGGAUGUCCUGAUUUCUGUGGGUCUCUCCCAGUGGGCAGUUAAGUCGCCCAAAUCAUUUUGGAUGCCAUAUUUCAUCAGCAUGAUGUAAUGGUGUUGGGUCAAGGCCUGGAGAUACAAACAUCAUAGUUAUUCUAGGAACAGGUUGGAUUUAGGGACCGAAAGCUAACCUAAGUGGGGGGACACCAAAACCCUCCUUCCCUCCUGCAGCUGUUGCAGCUCUUGAUCCGGGCUGAGGAGGAUGCAGAGCAGGUAGGUCCAUUCCUGGAUGAUGCCCCAGGAGCCUUGCACCCUUGUCAUAAACAGAUAGCUAAGGGUUAAUGUUCUUUUACCUGGAAAGGAGUAACCUGAAACACCUGACCAGAGGACCAAUCAGGAAACAAGACUUUUUCAAAUCUGGGUGGAGGGAAGUUUGGGUGUGAGUUCCUUGUUCUUUGUCUUCUGCCUGUACUCUCUCGGCUAUGAGAGGAUUUUUCUGCCUCCUGCUUUUCUAAUCUUCUGUUUCCAAGUUGUAAGUACAAAGAUAGGAAGACCAUAGGUUUGUUUUUUUUGUAUUUACAUGUGUGUAAGUUGCUGGAAUGUGUUAAAUUGUAUUCUUUGUGGAUAAGGCUGUUUAUUCAUAUUUCUUUUAAGCAAUUGACCCUGUAUUUGUCACCUUAAUACAGAGAGACCAUUUUUAGGUAUUUUUCUUUCUUUUUACAUAAAGCUUUCUUUUAAAGACCUGUUGGAGUUUUUCUUUAGUGGGGGACUCCAGGGAAUUGAGUCUGUAGCUCACCAGGGAAUUGGUGGGAGGAAGAAGUCAGGGGGAAAUCUGUGUGUGUUAGAUUUACUAGCUUGACUUUGCAUUCCCUCUGGGUGAAGGAGGGGGGUGGGGGGGAGCUUGGCUCUCUCUCUCGGAACCUAUUUCCAGGACUGGAAAUAGGGAGGGUGAAAUCCCUCUGUUUAGAUUCACGGAGCUUGCUUCUGUGUAUCUCUCCAGGAACCCAGGGAGGGUCCACCUGGAGGGGAGGAGGGGGAAGGGAGAUGGUUUAUUCCCCUUUGUUGUAAGACUCAAGGAAUUUGGGUCUUUGGGGUCCCCAGGGAAGGUUUUUGGGGGGACCAGAGUGCCCCAAAACACUCUAAUUUUUUGGGUGGUGGCAGCUUUACCAGGUCCAAGCUGGUAACUAAGCUUGGAGGUUUUCAUGCUAACACCCAUAUUUUGGACGCUAAGGUCCAAAUCUGGGAAUUAUGUUAUGACAAGGUCCAUUCCUGGAUGAUGCCCCAGGAGCCUUGCACCCUCCAGAUGACGCCAACCCCACUGAGAUAGUAACUCCUGCGUACUGUGGAACAGCUAACAGGAAACCGAUAGACGCAUUGUGUGCUGCACACGGGAAAGGGCUGGGGGAGUUUUGUAGGGGCUGCAUGUGGAGUGCAGAGGUGAUGGGAAACCACAGUAUUGCUGUGUGGCUGUUUUUGGGAAUGCAUGAGCAGUUUGAUAGGCUGUCCUCUGCCAUCUUCUCUGGCUGCAGGUGGAUGGAUAGGGAAGGGAUGUACUUGUGUCUGAUAUCUAGCUAUUCUCUUUUUACUAGUGAGUGGCUGACAAUUGCUACAUCUCUUUGUCAGCUGCAAUAUUGUGCCCUAGCAACAAUGUUUCCUCUCCAGCUGUUCUUAGAAGUCAGUAUCCAUAGGUCUGCUUUCCAGUCAGUAAAGCUAGGGUGCUUCCUGCUGCAAUGCUCUUCCUUCUGUUGGUGCUUGUCUCUCUGCUUUUAUCCCAGCGGUGCCUGUUCAGAUGAGCCCGCUGCUGGGAGAUCCCACUCUGAUAUUAAGUAAGAGCUGUGCAUGGAUUUCGUUUUCAUGAGAGUGACACACCAACAGGACUGGCACCAGUCAGGGUCACAUAUGUUGGAACAUGUUUUGCCCUGGCUUUCUCUGCAAACAGGAAAUAACAGUUCUGCUGCAGCCCUGUGGUAUGAAAGCUCAUUACCAGGAAGAACUUCAGUGCAGUUAACAUCUCGUCAUACACUUCUCUCGUCAGGAUGGUGGGCCUUGGUCAGCGUUUCCCCGGAGCGAGCAGGUUUCUCAAAGCUGCGCUUAGUGACAGGGUGAAUACAACCUUUGCCAGCGCUCAUUUUUUGAUACUUGUGAGCUGUUUUCUCCUGGGUCCUGCCACUUCUGGUUCUUUUCCCCAUGUUCCACUAAGUUCUCCCUGUACCCCCCUACACUGGAGGGAACAUUGGCUCCUCCCCAUCCCCUCCAGAGCCCUGAGGAUACACCGGGGUGAAAGUAACUUAAAGGACUUACUGGUACGCCGGAGUCCUGAGUGGGACGUGGCCUCAACCGGAAGAGGUGGGGCCUUUCAAGAUUUAAAGGCCCUGGGGCACUGGCUGUGGCUGGAAGCCCCAUGGCCUUUAAAUCACCCCAGAGCUCCCAGUUGCAGAGGCGGCUGGGAGCCCCGGGGCUCAGGGGCAAAUUAAAGGGCCUGGGGCUCCAACCACUGCGGAGCUGUGGGCCCUUUAAAUCACCACGGGAGCCCUGCCGCUGCUACCGCAGGAUGGCAGGGCUCGGGCUAGGGCUGGGGUAGCAGCAGCAGAACUCAGGUGGGGAUUUAAAGGGCAGGGAGCCUCAGGCCCUUUAAAUCCCCUCUGGAGCCUGGCUGCUGCUGGGGUAGCGGCGGCAGGGCUCCAGCGGCGAUUUAAAGGGCCAGAGCUCCAGGACCUUUAAAUCCCCGCCUGAGCCCAGCUGCUGGAGCUCCGGCGGUGAUUUAAAGGGCCCAGGGUGCCCUGCAGCAGCUGGAGCCCUAGGCCCUUUAAAUCACCACUGGAGAAGCUGGUCCAGUCCAGCAUGGCGUACCAGCUCUUGCUAGGAUGCUGGACCAGACCGUACCGACUUAUUUUCACCUCUGGGAUACACACACACACCAUUCUAAAACACAUUUCUACACAAACACACACACACACACACACACACUUCCCCCAUCCUAGAGCUCCCUCCUAUUGUUCCUCAUUCUUCAGCCACAAACAUUAGUUUCUUUGGAACCCCUGCUCUCCUGAAUCAGCCAGAAGAGGGUGCUGUGAAACAAUGAGAAGCACUCCCUCCACCUAUGGACUGAACCCACUGCCUGCACUUAUCUCCCACCCACUGGCCAGGAUCCAGAAGGGAACAUGAGAUAGGAAUAGGGACUGGGAAUUCAAUUGGCAUUUCCUGUACAGACACUGAGACCACCAUCAAAGCUGACCCAGCAAUUUCACCAUUAAAACUGCUGUCCCGCUC